Molecule: long non-coding RNA, 385 nt
Organism: Dalotia coriaria
Lineage: Eukaryota; Metazoa; Arthropoda; Insecta; Coleoptera; Staphylinidae
Exons: 3
Source: RefSeq, a predicted model, not a curated record
AUAAAUCAGUCCCAAUAAGUGAUGAAAGAUCGGAAAACAAUUUUGCACACAUUUUAGUACUAUUUUUAUCGCUUUCAAUAUACUUAUUUUUGGUGUUAUUGUUUCAUUUACCCAUAUUAACAAAAUGUACCUACAUUUUCUUAUGUAUAGGUCUUCUAUACAAUGUGAGUAAUAAUAACACUACAAGAAUCAACCGUCGUCAACAGUAGAAAUCCAGUAAAUAACUGUAUAAUUGCGUAUUGCAUUCAAAACACAAAAACCGCGUGCUUCUAAAUUACCUCGUCAGGUCGUCAGUGAGCAAACACAAUUGUGAUGAAACUCGUUCACUCGUACAAUCUCAAUCAACGGAUUGAUUACAAAUGGUUGCAAUCUUUACCUUCUUUAU